This 441-nucleotide ribosomal RNA is filed under the name uncultured bacterium. RNAcentral's name for it is "bacterial SSU rRNA". It matches the Rfam family "Bacterial small subunit ribosomal RNA", at positions 338 to 795 of the family's 1533-position model. The record is from RNAcentral.
CCUANGGGGGGCAGCACUCGGGAAUUUUCCACAAUGGACGAAAGUCUGAUGGAGCGACGCCGCGUGAAGGAUGAAGGUUUUCGGAUCGUAAACUUCUUUUGCCAAGGAAUAGGAAGGAAGGUACUUGGCGAAUAAGGGGCUGCUAACUGCGUGCCAGAAGCAUCGGUGAUACGUGGGCCCCAAGCGUUGUCCGGAUUUAUUGGGCGUAAAGCGAACGUAGGCGGUUAAGAGGAUCUUGUUUCAAAGACCCCAGCUCACCUGGGGAAAGGGACGGGAUAUCGCUUGACUUGAAUUGAGGAGGGGAGAUCGGAACGCGUGGUGGAGCGGUGAAAUGUGUUGAUAUUACGCGGAACGCCGGUGACGAAGGUUGAUCUCUGGUCUCAUAUUGACGCUCAUGUUCGAAAGCUAGGGGAGCGAAACGGAUUAGAUACCCUUNUANUC